ACAGGCAUUUCAAGGCAUUUCUGCAGUGCGACACAAUCCCAUGAAUAUCUCAAGGAAAAGCUGACACAGUAGCCUUUGCAAUCUCCUUGAAAAGGAUGGUUCAUGUGAUCUGCAGGACUUGCCAUGAAGAUGCUUGAAAGGCUCCAUUCCCUUUAGUUCCAGUGUGAACACCAGAAAUGGAUUUUGGACAAAGUUUCUGCUGCAAGAUUCUCAGUACUCAUGGCUCCAUCUACUCUUUGUUCAGCUACUACAGUGACAGAGAAACGCAGGAGAAUCCUGAGCUUCUGCCAUCUACCUAAGCUUGUGUACUUCUCCAUAGGGAGGAAAGGAAACGAGGAAAGGAGAUACUCACACAGGUCAUAUAGUCUCACACUUCAGUGAUAGGUGUCAGGUCUCAUAGGCUUCUACAGAGGAAGAAUAGCAUUACACUCAUCACCUAUUUACUACAUGUCUUGAUUUGCAACAUAACAUGACCAAAAUGGAGAGCUCCAGUCAUGUGAGAAGGACAAACCUAGCAGCAGGACAAGCAUAUAGAUGGAUUGGAGGUCCUGUGACUGGAUAUGAGUGAACAGCUAUCAUCACACACCAUCUGGAAGGCCCUUAUCACAUGAUGAACUAGCAGAGAUAGGACAACAGUCACACAGAGGGACGUACAUUCAUGAUACCAUAUAGAAAGUU
Cygnus atratus (black swan) is the source of this 678-nucleotide long non-coding RNA. RefSeq lists it as uncharacterized. NCBI's taxonomy places the organism in Eukaryota, Metazoa, Chordata, Aves, Anseriformes, Anatidae. The transcript is spliced from 3 exons. The record is from RefSeq and is a predicted model, not a curated record.